This 1187-nucleotide unclassified non-coding RNA is filed under the name Hevea brasiliensis (rubber tree). Lineage: Eukaryota; Viridiplantae; Streptophyta; Magnoliopsida; Malpighiales; Euphorbiaceae. The record is from RNAcentral.
AUAACUGAUUUUUUUUUUUUUUUUGUUAAUAAGAGAUUAAGAAAAUGAAGAUUGGAACCUGACAACAAGAACAAGCCAGGCUUAUAUCUGGACUCACCCAGAUAUAAAAUUAGGAUAUAAAAGCCAAUACUAAUUUCCUAGUCAAUAGAAGGAUAAACGAAAAACGAAAAGAAAACCCAACUUGCAAAACCCAUACUAGCCACUCAGAUCAGAUAUCAUCAUAACAUCAAUGAGAGCCCUGCCAUCUCUAUCACGGCUCCCGUCACCACCGCAGCCGCCUCAACCACCACCACCAAAUUGAUCUCCAUCAUUAUUAUUCAUGUCCAUGCAGUGAAGCCAUUGCUACAACUGCCAGCUUUUGAAGAUUCAACUUGACAACAGUAUCCACAAACAUCUUUGUAUCCUCCCCAGUAUUCCCUUCUGGUAUAUCCACUAUAUAAGACUCCAAAACAAUUGUGUAAACCUUCCCUUCUUUGCUGAACUCAUUAACAGAUGUGACAGACCGAUAAUUAUUUAGCCUAUGCUCACCCCCAACCACCCUAAAGCUUAAUAUAUGCUUCUCAUCAUCCAAAAUCUCUAGCCUUUCGGUGCUCGUAGAAGCUGGUAGCCCAGAAACUACAGUAACCUCUCUAAUGCUGCCUAUACCACCAGUGCCUUUCAUGUUGCAACUCUUGAUGAAGUGCUUGUAUUUUUGUGGGUUUUCAAAGCUGCGAACGAAAGGCCACACAGCUUGAGCUGGUGCUCCAAUGAGUUGCGUUAUUAGAGAAGUGCAUGUGUUGGGUGCCGCCUCAAAUUUGUGGUAUGUGUCUAUUAAAGGCUUCAGCUCUGCAUAUUCUUCUUGGGUCAGGCCUUGAGGUGGUGGGGAUUGGCUAGGUUCCAUGAAGGACGAUGAGCACUUAGGGUAUGCUUUGAGCAAAUUCAACAAGCAAGAAUAUGGAGGCGAUGGAGAAGAAGAGGAAAAGAAAUGAAGAAAAUUGGGUUCAUUUCAUUGAGGAAAAAAGAUAAGAUAGCUAGGUAAAGAGCAAAUUAAUAAUGUGAACAUGGGGUAGGGAUUAUUUACAUUUAAUAUUGAGUUUUUUGACAGGUAUGCCCUUGUAAUAUUAAUUUUUUUAACAGACAUGUGAGUUCCUUACCUUGAAAAUGUGUUUAACUUGUAAUGUGAGAGAAUUAAAUAAGUGAAUAAGAUA